ACCUAGCCCCGAUUGCAGAGAAAAUCCUUUUUUGAAAAAAAAGAUUGUAACGGAAAGCGGGAAUAGCU
Molecule: small RNA, 68 nt
Filed under: Chryseobacterium soldanellicola
Lineage: Bacteria; Pseudomonadati; Bacteroidota; Flavobacteriia; Flavobacteriales; Weeksellaceae
Description: Flavo-1 RNA
Rfam family: Flavo-1 RNA
Source: RNAcentral